AAUUAAUCAAAUAGUUCGACAAUAUGCAAGCAAUUUCCAUUUAAACUAAAAAUCAAACUACUUCAGUUCACCAUUCCCAUUAAAAAGAAAUGAUCAAUAUUAACUACAGUAUUAACUAAAUGCUACAGAUUUAACAACUGUUCAAAAAAAAAAAAAAUUAACACUUUUCAAUCAAGAAUCCCUAUUAUUAAAUCCUUAACUUGGACUUAAGAAUUCAAGAGAGGAAUGGGUUGUACGCGUUCAAAAUUAGACCCACUUGCAGUGAACUAAUUUCAUAAAUGGUAAAAUUAAUCCAUUAGAUUACCUUGAAGGUUCGUUCAUCUACGUACUCAGAUAACUAUUUCUUAUCCUUAAAGGAUGAUGUCCAUUGAGAAGGAGGUGAAACCCACGGGCUCCAAUCGCUAAUGUUGAAGAUCCAAUCAAGAGUUUAAUGAUUGAGAUCACUACGGCAGGGAAUGAGAGAACAAUGAGAGAGAGACGUUGAAUUGGGGGAGGGAAGAGAGAAAGUGUGUGUUUUUUUUUCUUUUUGAUUUAUAUUUAAUUCCA
Molecule: long non-coding RNA, 546 nt
Filed under: Olea europaea (common olive)
Lineage: Eukaryota; Viridiplantae; Streptophyta; Magnoliopsida; Lamiales; Oleaceae
Description: long non-coding RNA (OEUR_LNC015081)
Source: RNAcentral